GCUGGGGAUAAGCUCAGUUGGUAGAGUGCUUGCCUAGCAUGCAUAAGGCCUUGGGUUCAAUCCCCAGCACCAGCC
This 75-nucleotide transfer RNA is filed under the name Marmota monax (woodchuck). RNAcentral describes it as "tRNA.Ala". The stretch from base 11 to 67 matches the Rfam family "tRNA", at positions 9 to 63 of the family's 71-position model. Rfam says of the family: Transfer RNA (tRNA) molecules are approximately 80 nucleotides in length. The record is from RNAcentral. Lineage: Eukaryota; Metazoa; Chordata; Mammalia; Rodentia; Sciuridae.